Molecule: long non-coding RNA, 255 nt
Filed under: Elaeis guineensis (African oil palm)
Lineage: Eukaryota; Viridiplantae; Streptophyta; Magnoliopsida; Arecales; Arecaceae
Description: long non-coding RNA (EGUI_LNC042292)
Source: RNAcentral
UACCUAAGCAAGCAUUGAGUUUCGCAUCAAAAAGUAUGAAGGACGAAGAAGCUUUGUUGUAAAGCUAGUUUUAACUCGUAGCCUAUUUGAUUCAAACAAGUAGGUCCGAGAGGUAUUCUAUACCUAGUGCCUUAAAGUCAUCUGAUUUGGAAGUUAUUGGUUGAAAACUCGCUACAUGGGUUAAACAGAAAGCUUAAGGGGUUAAGACACUCAAUAGUGGUACAAUAUAAUAAUAAUAAUAAUAAUAAAUGAAGG